GGCUUAGAGUUUGAUCAUGGCUCAGGAUUAACGCUGGCGGCGCGCCUAAUACAUGCAAGUCGAAUGGUAGCAAUACCAUGGCGAACGGGUGAGUAACACGUAGGUAACCUGCCUUAAAGACGAGGAUAACCUUUGGAAACGAAGGAUAAUACUGGAUAGGAUAAUUUGAAGCAUUUUGGAUUAUUUAAAGGAGCGAUCCGCUUUAAGAGGGGCCUGCGGCGCAUUAGCUAGUUGGUGAGGUGAAGGCCCACCAAGGCGAUGAUGCGUAGCCGGACUGAGAGGUUGAACGGCCACAAUGGGACUGAGAGCGGCCCAUACUCCUACGGGAGGCAGCAGUAGGGAAUUUUCGGCAAUGGGGGGAACCCUGACCGAGCAACGCCGCGUGAACGAAGAAGUUAUUCGUAAUGUAAAGUUCUUUUAUCAGGGAAGAAAAAACAAAUUGACGGUACCUGAUGAAUAAGCUCCGGCUAACUACGUGCCAGCAGCCGCGGUAAUACGUAGGGAGCGAGCGUUAUCCGGAAUUAUUGGGCGUAAAGGGUGCGUAGAUGGCAUAAGAAGUCUAUUGUAAAAGUGCUAAGCUUAACUUAGUGAGGCAAUAGAAACUCUUAAGCUAGAGUAUAACAGAGGCAAGUG
RNAcentral lists this ribosomal RNA (633 nucleotides) under uncultured organism. RNAcentral's name for it is "bacterial SSU rRNA". It matches the Rfam family "Bacterial small subunit ribosomal RNA", at positions 1 to 663 of the family's 1533-position model. The record is from RNAcentral.